Molecule: non-coding RNA, 566 nt
Organism: Salvia hispanica
Lineage: Eukaryota; Viridiplantae; Streptophyta; Magnoliopsida; Lamiales; Lamiaceae
Source: RefSeq, a predicted model, not a curated record
AAAAUUCAUCAUCCUUCUCAUCUCUCUUUCGGCUCUCUCUAUGCUACUCUCUCCCUCUCUGUAAAAUUUCACAGCUUCUCUACUCCCUCCGAUCAGCCACCGUGAUAGUUCCAAUCACUCCUCCGUGAAGCAUGUAGUACCCUCCACCAAUUCAAGCUUUCAAUUCCUCCUAUUUCCUCUUAAUUUUGGAGCUCAAGUUGAAAACCACCUCCACUUAGCUUUGCAAAUUAGUUAAAAUUAGAGGUGAACCGAGUGCGAGCUCAAGUGAUAGGGGAAAGGGGCCGAUGCAGGGUUAAGUAAACAAGUAGAAGAGUUUUGUUGGCGUGUACAGAGUAUAGAAGCGAGUGAUCUCGCUCGUGGGCAGCUGCACGUGUCAAGUCACUACCCUCCUUUUUGCUGGUACAGUUGGAGUUCUCACGUGGCAUGCUUAGGAUAACUUUUGAUUGUAUAUAGUUGGUUUAGAGAUGUAAGGUUUUGAAACCUUCUUUUGCUAAGGGUUGUAAAUAAGUAUCAAAAUCGGUUAAUAUUACUUUUGUCAUGUAUAGUAGAAAAAGGCUGUUUUAACA